GACAGAGGCCUCGAGCGUUAGGCGGAAUCACUGGGCUUAAAGCGUGUGUAGGCGGGCCCGUAAGUGUCUUGUGAAAUCCCACGGCUCAACCGUGGAACUGCUGGGCAUACUGCGGGUCUUGGGCCAACUAGGGGCAGCUGGAACAAGCGGUGGAGCGGUGAAAUGCGUAGAUAUCGCUUGGAACGCCGAAGGUGAAAACAGGCUGCUGGGGUUGCGUCGACGCUGAGACACGAAAGCCAGGGGAGCAAACGGG
Molecule: ribosomal RNA, 253 nt
Filed under: uncultured bacterium
Lineage: Bacteria
Description: partial 16S ribosomal RNA
Rfam family: Bacterial small subunit ribosomal RNA
Source: RNAcentral